This 824-nucleotide ribosomal RNA is filed under the name Verrucomicrobiota bacterium. Its description in RNAcentral is "bacterial LSU rRNA". It matches the Rfam family "Bacterial large subunit ribosomal RNA", at positions 1 to 563 of the family's 2925-position model. Lineage: Bacteria; Pseudomonadati; Verrucomicrobiota. The record is from RNAcentral.
UGAUCAAGCUACAAAGAGCGCAUCAUGGAUGCCUUGGUGCCAAUAGGCGAUGAAGGACGUGGUAAGCUGCGAUAAGCUACGGACAGCGGCAAACACGCUUUGACCCGUAGAUUUCCGAAUGGGGUAACCUGAGCGAGGUAACACUUGCUCGAGUUCCUGUGAAUCCAUAGCAGGAACAUCGCGAAACCCGGCGAAGUGAAACAUCUCAGUAACCGGAGGAAAAGAAAUCGAAAGAGAUUCCGUCAGUAGUGGCGAGCGAAAGCGGAACAGGCUAAACCCAGCUACUUCGAGCUAUUUCUACAGACCCAUGUAUUACGUUUAUAUUCUCAAACAUCCGACUGAAGACGACAUUUACAUUGGCUUCAGCACGGACCUGCGCACUCGAAUGAAGGCUCACAAGAGCGAACAUCGGGAAUGGCGGCUGGCGUAUUACGAGGCAUACGCUUCAGAGACCGACGCCAGAGCGAGAGAGCGGCGACUGAAAUAUCACGGCAACGUGAAGCAAUUGUUGAAGAAACGAAUCAUGAGGAGCCUGGAGAUGGUUUGAAGUAGCUGGGGGUUGUAGGAGCCCGACGUGGUAGUGCAAAGGUUAGGUGAAGCUUCUGGAAAGCUGCGCCAUAGAGGGUGAAAGGCCCGUAACCGAAAACCCGAGCACGCCUAGGGAUUUCCUGAGUAAUACGAUGCACGUGAAACUUCGUAUGAAUCUGCGCCGACCACGGCGUAAGCCUAAAUACUCAUUGGCGACCGAUAGUGAACAAGUACCGCGAGGGAAAGGUGAAAAGAACCGCUGCGAGCGGAGUGAAAUAGUACCUGAAAUGAUGUGC